UGAUCUGCGGCGGGAGAGUCCUGCCGGUACAUCCAGUCAGGCGCCGUAGGAGCAAAUCCUCCCCAGGAAUCUCUCAGGCCCAUGUACCGCCGCGGUUAG
Arthrobacter sp. YN is the source of this 99-nucleotide non-coding RNA. NCBI's taxonomy places the organism in Bacteria, Bacillati, Actinomycetota, Actinomycetes, Micrococcales, Micrococcaceae. The record is from Rfam.